Molecule: transfer RNA, 76 nt
Filed under: Pseudoalteromonas citrea
Lineage: Bacteria; Pseudomonadati; Pseudomonadota; Gammaproteobacteria; Alteromonadales; Pseudoalteromonadaceae
Description: tRNA-His
Rfam family: tRNA
About the family: Transfer RNA (tRNA) molecules are approximately 80 nucleotides in length. Their secondary structure includes four short double-helical elements and three loops (D, anti-codon, and T loops).
Source: RNAcentral
GCGGCUGUAGCUCAGUUGGGAGAGCCCUGGAUUGUGAUUCCGGUUGUCGUGGGUUCGAGCGCCAUCAGUCGCCCCA